This 922-nucleotide ribosomal RNA is filed under the name uncultured bacterium. Its description in RNAcentral is "bacterial SSU rRNA". It matches the Rfam family "Bacterial small subunit ribosomal RNA", at positions 33 to 984 of the family's 1533-position model. The record is from RNAcentral.
ACGCUGACAGAAUGCUUAACACAUGCAAGUCUACUUGAACUUCGGUUUGGGUGGCGGACGGGUGAGUAACGCGUAAAGAACUUGCCUCACAGUUAGGGACAACAUUUGGAAACGAAUGCUAAUACCUGAUAUUAUGAUUUUAGGGCAUCCUAAGAUUAUGAAAGUUAUAUACGCUGUGAGAGAGCUUUGCGUCCCAUUAGCUAGUUGGAGAGGUAACGGCUCACCAAGGCGAUGAUGGGUAGCCGGCCUGAGAGGGUGAACGGCCACAAGGGGACUGAGACACGGCCCUUACUCCUACGGGAGGCAGCAGUGGGGAAUAUUGGACAAUGGACCAAAAGUCUGAUCCAGCAAUUCUGUGUGCACGAUGACGUUUUUCGGAAUGUAAAGUGCUUUCAGUUGGGAAGAAAAAAAUGACGGUACCAACAGAAGAAGUGACGGCUAAAUACGUGCCAGCAGCCGCGGUAAUACGUAUGUCACAAGCGUUAUCCGGAUUUAUUGGGCGUAAAGCGCGUCUAGGUGGUUAUGUAAGUCUGAUGUGAAAAUGCAGGGCUCAACUCUGUAUUGCGUUGGAAACUGCAUGACUAGAGUACUGGAGAGGUAAGCGGAACUACAAGUGUAGAGGUGAAAUUCGUAGAUAUUUGUAGGAAUGCCGAUGGGGAAGCCAGCUUACUGGACAGAUACUGACGCUAAAGCGCGAAAGCGUGGGUAGCAAACAGGAUUAGAUACCCUGGUAGUCCACGCCGUAAACGAUGAUUACUAGGUGUUGGGGGUCGAACCUCAGCGCCCAAGCUAACGCGAUAAGUAAUCCGCCUGGGGAGUACGUACGCAAGUAUGAAACUCAAAGGAAUUGACGGGGACCCGCACAAGCGGUGGAGCAUGUGGUUUAAUUCGACGCAACGCGAGGAACCUUACCAGCGUUUGA